RNAcentral lists this long non-coding RNA (261 nucleotides) under Linum usitatissimum (flax). Its description in RNAcentral is "long non-coding RNA (LUSI_LNC002657)". Lineage: Eukaryota; Viridiplantae; Streptophyta; Magnoliopsida; Malpighiales; Linaceae. The record is from RNAcentral.
UCAGAGUUCCUUUCUUUACAAACUCUCUAAUGGCUUCUGCUAAUGCUUCAGCUUCAUCUUUCUCGCUUGCAGAAACGUUAUAAACUCUCUAAUCCAUACAAAGCGUAUCCAAAACAUAAUUAUGAAUAUAUAUUUCGACUGGUUAAAAAGAAAAAGAAAAAGAAUAAAAAUGAUAGUAAAUUUACAGACGCCUGUCACAGUAACACGCACCUCACGCGUGUCUGUCGAAUUCCCUCUCUCUAUAUCUCGAAUUCAAUAACC